Pistacia vera is the source of this 3845-nucleotide RNA transcript. It is a transcript of the gene named lon protease homolog 1, mitochondrial, with no coding region annotated. NCBI's taxonomy places the organism in Eukaryota, Viridiplantae, Streptophyta, Magnoliopsida, Sapindales, Anacardiaceae. The transcript is spliced from 21 exons. The record is from RefSeq and is a predicted model, not a curated record.
UUUUACUGCAACACUCUCCUCUCUCAAACCUCUCCUCCUCCUCUCUUCAAUGCAACUUCUCCCAAUCUCAAUCGGGACCUCAAAAUUUCUAAAUCUUUUCAAUUUCACCCCUCCAAGAGUCUCCCCAAUUCGCCAAUGCUGAAACUCCUCUCCUCCACCGCCGCGUCAUGCCCGCAGGCCCACGCCUUCGCCACCGUUCCGGCUCUCAGAACCAAGCCUUCAUCUUCCUCGCCUCUGUUCGACGCGCUGAGUCAACUCACCCGGUUGACGGCUCGGAGGAGCCGCACGGUGACUUACAGGAGAUUUUUCUGCUCCGAUUCUUCUGGAGACAGCGGUGAAGAUGGGUCCCUGGCCGAGGUUGAGCUGAAGGAUGCUAAAGCCGACUCCGAAGAGUCCGACCCGAAGAGUUCUUCAGCUAUUGUGUCUACGAGCCCUCGGCCCGAGGAUUAUUUAACGGUUUUGGCAUUACCAUUGCCUCAUAGACCUCUUUUUCCUGGUUUCUACAUGCCAAUUUAUGUCAAGGAUCCAAAAUUGUUAGCAGCUUUACAGGAAAACCGAAAACGUCAAGCCCCUUAUGCUGGGGCAUUCCUUCUGAAAGAUGAGCCGGGCAUUGAUUCUUCAGGUUCUGAAACUGAAAAAAGUGUAUAUGAUCUUAAAGGAAAAGAGUUGUUUAAUCGCCUUCAUGAAGUUGGUACACUUGCUCAGAUUACAAGCAUCCAAGGAGACCAGGUUGUCCUUAUUGGCCACAGGCGACUGCGAAUGACGGAGUUGGUUAGUGAGGACCCCCUGACUGUCAAAGUUGAUCAUAUCAAGGAUAAACCAUAUGACAAGGAUGAUGAUGUUAUAAAGGCAACAUCAUUUGAGGUUAUAUCUACUCUAAGAGAUGUUUUGAAGACAAGUUCCCUUUGGAGAGAUCAUGUUCAAACAUAUACUCAGCAUAUUGGUGAUUUUAGCUUUCCAAGGCUAGCAGAUUUUGGAGCUGCAAUAUCUGGUGGAAACAAAUUGCAAUGUCAGCAAGUACUUGAAGAGCUAGAUGUGUAUAAACGCUUGAAACUGACACUGGAGUUGGUGAAGAAAGAAAUGGAAAUCAGAAAAAUUCAGGAAUCGAUUGCAAAAGCAAUUGAGGAAAAGAUCAGUGGUGAGCAGCGCCGGUACUUGUUGAAUGAGCAACUUAAGGCCAUAAAGAAGGAGCUUGGAUUAGAGACAGAUGACAAAACAGCCCUUUCCUCAAAGUUCAGGGAAAGGAUUGAACAAUACAAGGACAAAUGUCCACCUCAUAUUCUGCAAGUUAUAGAAGAGGAGCUUACAAAACUGCAGCUGUUAGAGGCCAGUUCUAGUGAAUUCAAUGUAACUCGCAACUAUUUGGAUUGGUUGACUGCACUACCUUGGGGAAGCUACAGUGAUGAGAAUUUUGAUGUCCUCCGGGCACAACAAAUUCUUGAUGAAGACCAUUAUGGAUUGACUGAUGUGAAGGAAAGGAUAUUAGAAUUUAUUGCUGUUGGAAAACUCAGGGGAACCUCCCAAGGAAAAAUCAUCUGUCUCUCUGGCCCUCCUGGAGUGGGCAAAACUAGCAUUGGUCGUUCAAUUGCUCGUGCUUUAAACCGUAAAUUCUUUAGGUUUUCAGUUGGAGGUUUAGCUGAUGUUGCUGAAAUCAAGGGGCAUCGUCGAACCUAUAUUGGUGCUAUGCCAGGAAAGAUGGUGCAGUGCCUAAAAAAUGUAGGGACAGCUAAUCCUCUUGUUCUGAUUGAUGAAAUAGACAAGUUGGGAAGGGGACAUGCUGGUGAUCCGGCAAGCGCAUUGUUGGAGCUCCUUGAUCCAGAACAAAAUGCUAAUUUUCUGGACCACUAUCUUGAUGUUCCAAUUGACCUAUCAAAGGUUCUGUUUGUUUGCACAGCAAAUGUUGUGGAGAAUAUACCCAACCCUCUCUUGGACAGAAUGGAAGUAAUUGCUAUUGCUGGGUAUAUCACUGAUGAGAAAAUGCACAUUGCCAGGGACUAUUUGGAGAAGACUACGCGUGAAGCAUGUGGUAUCAAGCCUGAACAGGUUGAGGUGACUGAUGCAGCGCUUCUUGGCCUGAUUGAAAAUUACUGCCGAGAAGCAGGGGUUCGUAAUCUUCAAAAGCAAAUAGAAAAGAUUUACCGCAAGAUUGCUUUGAAACUUGUGAGGCAAGGAGCAUUAAGUGAAUCUGCUGUUGCUGGAGAGGUUGUGGAGACCGAUAAUGCAAAGGCAGAAAAUGUUGAUGAAUCAAGUCAAAAAAUAGCUGGAAGUGACAUGAAGGUUGAAGCAGAAACAGUGGAGACUAGCAGUCACAAUCAAACUGCUGAAACCGCUGUCGAGGCUGUGACAAUACAGACGGAUGACCAAUCUCAGAGUGAUGUUGAUUUAAAGGAUAUAACAGAACGGGAGAAAGUACAGGAUAAUGAAGCUGCCAAAGCAGUUGAGAAAGUAUUGGUUGACGAAUCAAACUUAGCCGACUAUGUUGGCAAACCUGUUUUCCAUGCUGAGCGCAUCUAUGAUCAAACUCCAGUUGGAGUUGUGAUGGGUCUUGCUUGGACUGCAAUGGGUGGCUCCACCUUGUACAUAGAGACCACUCAGGUUGAGCAAGGAGAUGGAAAAGGGGCUUUGCAUGUUACUGGUCAACUUGGAGAUGUUAUGAAAGAAAGUGCACAAAUCGCUCACACGGUAGCGAGAUCAAUCUUACUUGAGAAAGAACCAAAUAGCCCUUUCUUCGCCAAUUCCAAACUUCAUCUCCACGUUCCCGCAGGGGCCACUCCCAAGGAUGGGCCUAGUGCAGGUUGCACCAUGAUCACAUCUAUGUUGUCCCUUGCCAUGAAGAAGAUUGUCAGGAAGGAUCUAGCAAUGACUGGGGAAGUAACACUAACUGGGAAAAUCCUUCCAAUUGGUGGGGUUAAGGAGAAAACAAUAGCAGCAAGGAGGAGCGAUGUGAAGACUAUCAUAUUCCCUUCAGCCAACAGGAGGGAUUUUGAUGAGCUUACCCCAAAUGUGAAGGAAGGCUUAGAUGUUCACUUUGUGGCUGACUACAGCCAGAUAUUCAAUGUGGCUUUCAGUGAUGAACAAAAUAAAGAAAAGUAAACCCUUCUUCCCCACAAAUUCUUGAUGAAAACUCUGUUUUCUGGGUCUUCAGGAGUAGAGUUAUCCUUUUUCUUUUGACUUGAGAUAACCAGUAGUGGAAUUAUUCUAUUCAAGAGAAAAGAAGCAAGCCCAGGAAACUGUGAAAUGGAGCAACCAAUGCCACGACAAAAUCUACAUGCGCAGAAGUUCUAAGUUUACUUAUAAUAAUACAUGAUUGUGAAAUAAAAUGUUGAUAUACUGAUGACAAGUGUCAGCAAUGAUCAUAAAUUGGAUAUGAUAUAAAGUGGGAAAGACAGAAAAGUCUAUGAAGCAGAGAGUGACAGGUAACAGAGGCACUAUCCAAAUGAUUCCUUGUAUCAGAGAAACCAACAAUGAAGAUGGUGGUCCUCUCUAUGGAUUGGACGCUUAAAUAGUGGGUUGGUGUCGUCCUCCAUUGUUGACAACAUCAGUACUACUCUACUCUACUCUACUCUACAGGUCUACCACUACUCUUAUUGCUCCACAUUUCCACCAUUUUAUUGCUUCUUUCAGAACCCCUCUCAGGGCCAAAAACACUUCCAUGAAAUGAGUGUCUGUACCAAUUAUGGUGCGUAGCUUGCAUAUACAUACUGUGAUAAUGUGUGCUGGAGAUGGAACUUUAUCUUUAAUGUUCAGUUCUUUGAACGUAGAAUCUUUUAGUUAGGGAUGAGCAUCUAUCUAAUCACUAUGUGUUUCUUGCCUAUUUGUAUAUACUUUGUGAUGGACGUUUGUCC